UUUUUGAAUAUAAUUUAAAGUAGGGCCUGCCCMCUGAGUAUUUAAAGGGCCGCAGUAUYUUAACUGUGCAAAGGUAGCAUAAUCAUUAGUUUUUUAAUUGAAAGCUGGAAUGAAUGGUUUGAUGAGAAAAUAGCUGUCUCAAUAUUAAUUAUUUAAAACUUUAUUUUUAAGUUAAAAAGCUUAAAUUUUUAUAAAAGACGAGAAGACCCUAUAGAGUUUAAUUAAUUGAUAAAUUUUUUAUUUUAGAAUUAAUUAUAAAAAAUUUAUUUAUUAAUUUGAUUGGGGUGAUUAAAAAAUUUAGUUAACUUUUUUUAUAUUAUUACAUUAAUUUAUGAAUACUUGAUCCAUAAUAAUGAUUAAAAGAUUAAAUUACCUUAGGGAUAACAGCGUUAUUUUUUUUUAGAGUUCAUAUUAAAAAAAAAGUUUGCGACCUCGAUGUUGGAUUAAAGUUAAUUUUUGGUGCAGAAGCUAAAAAAUUGGGUCUGUUCGACCUUUAAAACUUUACA
Molecule: ribosomal RNA, 506 nt
Filed under: Scymnus sp. CO449
Lineage: Eukaryota; Metazoa; Arthropoda; Insecta; Coleoptera; Coccinellidae
Description: partial 16S ribosomal RNA
Rfam family: Archaeal large subunit ribosomal RNA (bases 380-506)
Source: RNAcentral